This 380-nucleotide ribosomal RNA is filed under the name uncultured bacterium. RNAcentral describes it as "bacterial SSU rRNA". It matches the Rfam family "Bacterial small subunit ribosomal RNA", at positions 29 to 432 of the family's 1533-position model. The record is from RNAcentral.
AACGAACGCUGGCGGCAUGCCUAACACAUGCAAGUCGAACGGGAUCCUAGCUUGCUAGGUGAGAGUGGCGGACGGGUGAGUAACACGUGGGAAUCUGCCUUUGGUUCGGGAUAACCGCGGGAAACUGCGGCUAAUACCGAAUGCCCUCGAGAGAGGAAAGAUUUAUCGCCAGAAGAGGAGCCCGCGUCCGAUUAGGUAGUUGGUGGGGUAAAGGCCUACCAAGCCGACGAUCGGUAGCUGGUCUGAGAGGAUGAUCAGCCACACUGGGACUGAGAUACGGCCCAGACUCCUACGGGAGGCAGCAGUGGGGGAUAUUGCGCAAUGGGCGAAAGCCUGACGCAGCGACGCCGCGUGGGUGAUGAAGGCCUGGUCGUAAGACC